RNAcentral lists this ribosomal RNA (377 nucleotides) under uncultured bacterium. RNAcentral's name for it is "bacterial SSU rRNA". It matches the Rfam family "Bacterial small subunit ribosomal RNA", at positions 523 to 898 of the family's 1533-position model. The record is from RNAcentral.
AGACGUAGGGGGCGAGCGUUGUCCGGAAUUACUGGGCGUAAAGGGCGUGUAGGCGGCUUGGCAAGUCAGCGGUGAAACACCUGGGCUUAACCCAGGUAUUGCCGUUGAAACUGCCUGGCUUGAGGGUAGAAGAGGAGUGUGGAAUUCCCGGUGUAGCGGUGAAAUGCGUAGAGAUCGGGAGGAACACCAGUGGCGAAGGCGGCACUCUGGUCUACCCCUGACGCUGAGGCGCGAAAGCUAGGGGAGCAAACAGGAUUAGAUACCCUGGUAGUCCUAGCCGUAAACUAUGGGCACUAGGUGUAGGAGGUUUAGAUACCUUCUGUGCCGUAGCUAACGCAUUAAGUGCCCCGCCUGGGGAGUACGGUCGCAAGGCUGAA